GACGAACGCUGGCGGCGUGCUCAACACAUGCAAGUCGAACGGAAAGGCCCUGCUUUUGUGGGGUGCUCGAGUGGCGAACGGGUGAGUAACACGUGAGUAACCUGCCCUUGACUUUGGGAUAACUUCAGGAAACUGGGGCUAAUACCGGAUAGGAGCUCCUGCUGCAUGGUGGGGGUUGGAAAGUUUCGGCGGUUGGGGAUGGACUCGCGGCUUAUCAGCUUGUUGGUGGGGUAGUGGCUUACCAAGGCUUUGACGGGUAGCCGGCCUGAGAGGGUGACCGGCCACAUUGGGACUGAGAUACGGCCCAGACUCCUACGGGAGGCAGCAGUGGGGAAUAUUGCACAAUGGGCGGAAGCCUGAUGCAGCAACGCCGCGUGCGGGAUGACGGCCUUCGGGUUGUAAACCGCUUUCGCCUGUGACGAAGCGUGAGUGACGGUAAUGGGUAAAGAAGCACCGGCUAGCUACGUG
RNAcentral lists this ribosomal RNA (468 nucleotides) under uncultured bacterium. RNAcentral's name for it is "partial 16S ribosomal RNA". It matches the Rfam family "Bacterial small subunit ribosomal RNA", at positions 28 to 507 of the family's 1533-position model. The record is from RNAcentral.